UGGGGAAUAUUGGACAAUGGGCGCAAGCCUGAUCCAGCCAUGCCGCGUGAGUGAUGAAGGCCCUAGGGUUGUAAAGCUCUUUCACCGGUAACGAUAAUGACGGUAACCGGAGAAGAAGCCCCGGCUAACUUCGUGCCAGCAGCCGCGGUAAUACGAAGGGGGCUAGCGUUGUUCGGAUUUACUGGGCGUAAAGCGCACGUAGCCGGACUAUUAAGUCAGGGGUGAAAUCCCGGGGCUCAACCCCGGAACUGCCUUUGAUACUGGUAGUCUUGAGUUCGAUAGAGGUGAGUGGAAGUCCGAGUGUAGAGGUGAAAUUCGUAGAUAUUCGGAGGAACACCAGUGGCGAAGGCGGCUCACUGGCUCGAUACUGACGCUGAGGUGCGAAAGCGGGGGGAGCAAACAGG
This 404-nucleotide ribosomal RNA is filed under the name Actinomycetes bacterium. Its description in RNAcentral is "Actinobacteria bacterium partial 16S ribosomal RNA". It matches the Rfam family "Bacterial small subunit ribosomal RNA", at positions 355 to 776 of the family's 1533-position model. Lineage: Bacteria; Bacillati; Actinomycetota; Actinomycetes. The record is from RNAcentral.